AUUGAACGCUGGCGGCAUGCUUUACACAUGCAAGUCGAACGGUAACAGGUCAAGCUGACGAGUGGCGAACGGGUGAGUAAUGCAUCGGAACGUGCCCGAUCGUGGGGGAUAACGCAGCGAAAGCUGCGCUAAUACCGCAUACGAUCUGAGGAUGAAAGCGGGGGACCGUAAGGCCUCGCGCGAUCGGCGCGGCCGAUGUCAGAUUAGGUAGUUGGUGGGGUAAAGGCUCACCAAGCCGACGAUCUGUAGCUGGUCUGAGAGGACGACCAGCCACACUGGGACUGAGACACGGCCCAGACUCCUACGGGAGGCAGCAGUGGGGAAUUUUGGACAAUGGGCGCAAGCCUGAUCCAGCAAUGCCGCGUGCAGGAAGAAGGCCUUCGGGUUGUAAACUGCUUUUGUACGGAGCGAAAAGGCUCUCUCUAAUACAGGGGGCUCAUGACGGUACCGUAAGAAUAAGCACCGGCUAACUACGUGCCAGCCGCCGCCGUAA
RNAcentral lists this ribosomal RNA (493 nucleotides) under uncultured bacterium. Its description in RNAcentral is "partial 16S ribosomal RNA". It matches the Rfam family "Bacterial small subunit ribosomal RNA", at positions 29 to 523 of the family's 1533-position model. The record is from RNAcentral.